This 460-nucleotide ribosomal RNA is filed under the name uncultured bacterium. RNAcentral's name for it is "partial 16S ribosomal RNA". It matches the Rfam family "Bacterial small subunit ribosomal RNA", at positions 338 to 795 of the family's 1533-position model. The record is from RNAcentral.
CCUAGGGGGAGCAGCAGUGAGGAAUAUUGGUCAAUGGACGCAAGUCUGAACCAGCCAUGCCGCGUGCAGGAUGACGGCCCUAUGAGUUGUAAACUGCUUUUGUACGAGGGUAAACCCCGAUACGUGUAUCGGGUUGAAAGUAUCGUACGAAUAAGGAUCGGCUAAAUCCGUGCCAGCAGCCGAGGUAAUACGGAGGGUCCGAGCGUUAUCCGGAUUUAUUGGGUUUAAAGGGUGCGUAGGCGGAUUGAUAAGUGAGAGGUGAAAGGUCGGGGCUCAACCCGGAAACUGCCUCUAAUACUGUUGGGCUAGAGAAUAGUUGAGGUAGGCGGAAUGUGUGGUGUAGCGGUGAAAUGCUUAGAGAUCACACAGAACACCGAUUGCGAAGGCAGCUUACCAAACUGUAUCUGACGUUGAGGCACGAAAGCGUGGGUAGCAAACAGGAUUAGAUACCCCGGUAGUC